This 490-nucleotide ribosomal RNA is filed under the name uncultured bacterium. Its description in RNAcentral is "partial 16S ribosomal RNA". It matches the Rfam family "Bacterial small subunit ribosomal RNA", at positions 30 to 507 of the family's 1533-position model. The record is from RNAcentral.
AUUGAACGCUGGCGGCAGGCCUAACACAUGCAAGUCGAACGGUAACAGGAAGAAGCUUGCUUCUUUGCUGACGAGUGGCGGACGGGUGAGUAAUGUCUGGGAAACUGCCUGAUGGAGGGGGAUAACUACUGGAAACGGUAGCUAAUACCGCAUAACGUCGCAAGACCAAAGAGGGGGACCUUCGGGCCUCUUGCCAUCGGAUGUGCCCAGAUGGGAUUAGCUAGUAGGUGGGGUAACGGCUCACCUAGGCGACGAUCCCUAGCUGGUCUGAGAGGAUGACCAGCCACACUGGAACUGAGACACGGUCCAGACUCCUACGGGAGGCAGCAGUGGGGAAUAUUGCACAAUGGGGGCAAGCCUGAUGCAGCCAUGCCGCGGGUAUGAAGAAGGCCUUCGGGUUGUAAAGUACUUUCAGCGGGGAGGAAGGGAGUAAAGUUAAUACCUUUGCUCAUUGACGUUACCCGCAGAAGAAGCACCGGCUAACUCCGUG